RNAcentral lists this long non-coding RNA (4145 nucleotides) under Homo sapiens (human). RNAcentral's name for it is "HSALNT0365435". Lineage: Eukaryota; Metazoa; Chordata; Mammalia; Primates; Hominidae. The record is from RNAcentral.
AAGUAAGCUCACUAUUCAAAUAGUCUAAGAGUGUCUUUUGUUUUCAUCCGAUCUAUCUUCUAUUAUACCAUUUUCCAUCUUUUCUCUUUGCUUGAUCUACACACACUUGCAUUUAUCAUUUUCAUAAAAUAUUGUUUAGUGUGGGCAGGGUGUGGUGAGAUGAAGAUUAUAAAUAUCCAUCAAUCUUCAGUGUUCCAUUUGCUCGAAAGAAACAUGAAAGCCAUGGCAUUGCUUUGCCAUUCUCCUCGCUCCCUACUGCCUUCUGGCCAGUUUUUCCUUGUAAAAAGGAAUGAGUUCUACCUAAGCUAACUGGUUUUGAUGCCAAAAGCCUCUGCGUCAUAUCCUUGAGCGCUGCUCCCACUCUGUGGUCUGAUAUCCUUGUGGCAAUGUCCCAGGUGGAUAAAACGUGGCACGACAAUUGGCACCAAUGAAUUACUCUUGGAGUAGCAAUUGCUGGAUGUGCCUCUUUUGUUGAGGUGAUUGGAUCUUUUGGCAAAAACCAGUGACUGCAAAGGAUGAGAGAAACGAUCAGAAAAACUGAAAAGCUGUAGGAGACCAAACACUAGUGUCUCCCCUGCUUCAGGGGACACCCACUGUCAGAGUGAACGACAAAGGUUAGAUUUGAACAAGCUUUCUUUCUUUCUUUCUCUUUCUUUCUUUCUUUCUUUCUUUCUUUCUUUCUUUCUUUCUUUCUUUCUUUCUGUUUCUCUUUCUUUUCUUUCCUUUCUUCCUACUUUUUCUUUCUCCUUCUUUCUUUCUCUUUCCUUCCUUCCUUCCUUUCCUUAUUCUUUCCUUUUUUUCCUUCUCUUUAUUUUUUCUUUAUUCUCUAUCUUGCUCUUUCUUUCCUUUCUCUGUCUCUGGCUCUUUUUCUUUUUCUCUCUUUUUUCUUUUCUCUCUCUGUGCCGCUCUCUUUUCUCUUUUUUUCUCCUUCCUUCCAUCCUUCCUUCCUUCCUUCCUUCCUCCUGUCCUUCCCAGAUAAAAAAUAUUAUCUGGUCAAACUGUCCCAUCUGUUUGGGACAAAGGAGAUCCACUGAGAUUUUGUACAAGACGUACAUUUUUAAAAAGGAAGGGGGGUAGAGGGCAGGAAAUCUUUCCGUUGGUGUCGUUCUGCUGAUGUCACCAUGGAUUCAGUGUUCAAGUCCACAGCCAGGCAAAACUCAAAUAAAUUUUCCUUUUUGCAAGCAGCUGCACUGUGAGUUCGCCUUCCAUUAGUAAAGGGACAAUGAAGGGAAGGCGAACCCCGCGUCCAAAACAUGGCCAAUGAAAGGACACUGGAAUGGAAGCCAGGAAUCCUGCUGUGGUGGAGAGGCAUAGACUCAUGAGUCCACCACAAUCGGAUACUUGCUUCUUUUUAACAGCCCUAUCAGCCGAGAGAAAUAAUGACUCCUGAAUCAUUUGACAGUAAAAAAGUUAAAAUGAUGUCUCAAUGGCGCUGCAUCAUGCCAGACGCGCGUGGAUGAUUUGAAGAUAUUAGCCUAACAAGAUGGAAGCAGGUUUAAAAUUUUACAUAAGAAGUUACCUUUUUCAGCUGGUCCUAUAGUACCCCUCCUCAGGAAUGUCUCCCCAGUGCAAGGACAAAGACUGAAGAGACUGCUAUAUUGAUGGACUCUCAAGCCAACUAUGAAGUUGAAACAAAGAAAGUGAUCACCUGAAGACACCUCCUCUGCUAAGAAACACCCCCAAAUUGUGCAGCUUCUGCCACUAGAACUCUCAGAACAAGAGACAAUCUUUUCAAGAAACAGAAAAACUCAAUAAUGACAUCUAGAUUUUCAUGAGCCAAGAACUUUCCCUUCCUCAUGUGUAUUCCUCUGUUUGUACUUAAAUUCAUGUGACAUUCAUUUUUUUCCUAGUAUGGAUAUGCUUAUUAAUGCACUUGUUUCAAAAUCCCAAAUUGCACAAAUGUGUUAAUAUUUUAAGAAACAAAAUGAAUCCUACAAGGAGAAUGAUUUUUAGCCACACAUAGGGUUGGAUCUUGAGAGUGACCUACAGAAUAAAAGUACUUUUAAAAUAAAGUAGUCAGAGGCUAUUCAAAGGGUAAAAUAAUCAUAGUACCACAUUGGUCCACUUGACACUAACCAAUCGAUCAUUUUUUUUUAAUCAAGAAAGCUAGAUUCUAUCAGAUAAAAUCACUGCUUCUAAAGAGUUUAAAUCUAGUUAGAAAAAGUUAUAGAAAUGUUUGCAAAGAUAAGUAACAGAUAGAGUCAGUAGAGGAUAAGAUCAAAAACAAAACCAAGCAAAAGAUGAGUUCAGGGGAGUUUGCCAUCAAGUUGGCAAAACUGACUUACUUAGGGAAGAAAGUUAUAAAACAGGAAAAUAUGAGAUGAACCUUGAGUGAUGUGGAAGAUUUAGAUAAAUGGAAAGGAAGGAGAAAAUGGAGUUCUUUAGGUGGUUGUAAUUGGAGGAGGAAAUGAAUACACACAUCUUGUUGACUUAAACCCAGACAUUCAGCAGCUCUCUAUACAUAUCUGGAAAAGACUGCACAGUCACCUCCUGUCUCUCACCCCAGGUAUUACUUAGAAUUAUUAUCAUAUUUCCCUUCCUUUAAAGUAAGUAAGGGUGAUUGGUGACAAUAUGGAGAACUAUGAUUUUUCCAUUAACCUAAUAAUAAUUGGUAUUUAUUGAGUUCUGUUAAGCAUUUUACAUAUUAACUCACUUAAGCCUUUCAACAGCCUUGCAAAAUAGGUAUUAUUAUCCCCAUUUUACAGGCAAGAAAACUGAGGUUUAAGUAACUUGCCGAAGUGCCAUAUACAGGGCUCACAUUCAGUAUUGCAGUUGCAAAGCUCAUGAUCUAUAGUGCCAAGUUGCAAUAUUGUAGUCAAUGUCACAAUUAUUACCCCUUUUUAUAUUCCUUGAUAUUUUUCCAUGGCAAACAAUUAGCUAUUUCAUUUAAUAAUCACCUAAAACUUUUCAGUCUUCUGAUUAAAAUUACGCUGGAGUGAUAGAAUGUAUUUUCAUGAUAGAAAUUGGGAAAAAAAAUGGGGAAUGAAGUUUAUCAGCAUUUCAGACUUGUUUUUUUUUUUUUUUUUUGCAAGACUUUGAUGAGAUUGUUCACUUUUGUCUAUGUAAAAUCCCAAAUCCUUGAGAAUAAAAAAGGGGGAGGUUUAAGUCACUUGUUGCAAUGCCCUUUUUAAUAGAGGCAAUAAAUCUAAAGGCCAUAAAUUUAGAGUGACUUACAGAAGAUCGAACUUUGGAGUGUGGCAGAGUAAGGGAUGGAAACCGGGCCCUCCAGUUCACUAUCAGUAGCUUUUGCACUGGUCUGCCCUUCCUAAAUUAAGUAUGCACUUCAAUUUGAUGAGUGGAAACAGUCUAUCUGGGCAGUAACCAGGGAGCUUUGUGCCUAGUAGAUUGCUUCUGUUCUGCACUUCUUUGGUUUCCCACCUCAAUGUAAAAAAUAGCUAGCAAUGAAGUCCAGAAGUUGUCAAUGGUUCAUCCCCAGAAGAAUGCAUAAUGUCCAAAGUUGUAUGUGUAUGAUGUCUUCAAUGGUAUUAAGUUAUUUCAAAUUCUUAGUUCACCUACAUAAAUCAUUUCUAACAAGCAUCUUCUUAACCAACUUUAUGCACAGUGUAUGUUUGUAAGUGCUUCUGCACGAAUGUUUAUACAUGACUGUUUCCAUAGUACUUAUGUUUUUAAAAAUAUUCAGUCAUUUCCUACUAUAAUCCUCAUGUAUCCAUGUAACUGACUCAAAAAUACUUCAGCCACAGAAAGCUAAAACUGAGCAAAUCUCAUUCUUCUUUUCCAUCCCCUUUGCAUGUGGCUGGCAUUUAGUAAUGAUUAAUAAUAUGGCCAGCUGAAUAACAGAGGUUUGAGACACAAUUCUUUCUCAAAGGAGUCAGCUAAGCUGGGUCUACUUAUGGACAAACAUCUAAAUGUGUGGAAGUAUCUGAUAUUUGACAAUGGUAAAUUUCCACUUAGCUAGCUAGCAUUGUCAGACUUCAAUCUCCUCAUGGCUCUGGCCGUCCUGUUUUAAGCAUGAUAAUUGUUGGCCACAUCUCACAUAGUUCUCAUUGAGUGAGUUCAUAAAUAAACAGGGUUUUUUUUUUUUUUUAAAGAGCAGCCAAGCACAAAGUGUGACUUUGUUGACAUUUUAUGUGACUUUGUCAUAUGUUCCUAACCCCCAAUAAAAGCAAUGUUGCAUCAACUGUGAA